Molecule: long non-coding RNA, 224 nt
Filed under: Homo sapiens (human)
Lineage: Eukaryota; Metazoa; Chordata; Mammalia; Primates; Hominidae
Description: HSALNT0004030
Source: RNAcentral
AGAGCCCAGGCCUUCAAGAGGAACUUCCUGGAGGCACAGUCCAGCUCAGGAGAGGGGACUUUACCAUCGAGUGAGCUGCCAGGAACAGGGUAGGGAUUUCCAAAUGGGGCAGCAGCUUACCUUCCUGUUUCCAGCAAAGUCAGUCACCCUGUGAAGAGCAGCUCCAUCCAUCUUACCUGGAGCCAACCAGCCUUCUGCCCAAUGUCCAGAAUAGAACCCAGGGA